CAGUAGCCACGGUAAUACGAAGGGUGCAAGCGUUAAUCGGAAUUACUGGGCGUAAAGCGUGCGUAGGCGGUUUGUUAAGUCUGCUGUGAAAUCCCCGGGCUCAACCUGGGAAUGGCAGUGGAUACUGGCAAGCUAGAGUGUGUCAGAGGAUGGUGGAAUUCCCGGUGUAGCGGUGAAAUGCGUAGAGAUCGGGAGGAACAUCAGUGGCGAAGGCGGCCAUCUGGGACAACACUGACGCUGGGGCACGAAAGCGUGGGGAGCAAACAGGAUUAGAUACCCGCGUAGUCCCUGUCUCUUAUAC
RNAcentral lists this ribosomal RNA (301 nucleotides) under uncultured bacterium. RNAcentral's name for it is "partial 16S ribosomal RNA". It matches the Rfam family "Bacterial small subunit ribosomal RNA", at positions 509 to 807 of the family's 1533-position model. The record is from RNAcentral.